This 230-nucleotide ribosomal RNA is filed under the name uncultured bacterium. Its description in RNAcentral is "partial 16S ribosomal RNA". It matches the Rfam family "Bacterial small subunit ribosomal RNA", at positions 524 to 753 of the family's 1533-position model. The record is from RNAcentral.
GACAGAGGAUGCAAGCGUUAUCCGGAAUGAUUGGGGGUAAAGCGUCUGUAGGUGGCUUUUCAAGUCCGCCGUCAAAUCCCAGGGCUCAACCCUGGACAGGCGGUGGAAACUACCAAGCUGGAGUACGGUAGGGGCAGAGGGAAUUUCCGGUGGAGCGGUGAAAUGCGUAGAGAUCGGGAAGAACACCAACGGCGAAAGCACUCUGGUGGGCCGACACUGACACUGUGGGA